Molecule: long non-coding RNA, 437 nt
Filed under: Linum usitatissimum (flax)
Lineage: Eukaryota; Viridiplantae; Streptophyta; Magnoliopsida; Malpighiales; Linaceae
Description: long non-coding RNA (LUSI_LNC006550)
Source: RNAcentral
CUCCCUGCUCGCAACUGUGGUCAGUCAUCUUCUCUGACGAAGGCUUGCUGUCGGCGACCUCUCCUCCUUGUUCCACUCCUUCACGCGCCGUCGCUGGCCUCUGAUCCACCGCCGGAAGCCAGGGCGAGGGCCUUCAGAGCCUCCUGCCCCAUCCUCUGUCAUCACGCGCCUCAUCCUCCUUCGCGAGCGCCGCCGCCGCCGCUGCCAAAGCCACUGGCUUCCCUCCUCCAUCUCAUCUUAUGGUCGAUCUCCGGCGUUCUGAUGGCCAAGGAGUUCCGGGAGCCAACUCCUCAUUCAAAUCGCGAGUCUCUCGUCGCAAACCCACAGGAAAAAUCGAAAUCACCCCCUGGGUCCAACUUCUCCGUCGCCGUCAUCUGGGAAUACUAGGUUUUUUGGAAGAGAACUCAUACCUCCAUAUUUUGAAUGGUUACGGGCCU